AAGAAUCCAGAACCUUACUUAGGGGACAUCCUAAAGAUGAACACUUCUCCCAGCUUAGUGACUCUGAUUGUUUUAAUAAUUGGAAGGAUAUGUGGACAAUCAGUGACCCAGAUGGAAGGCCCAGUGUCUAUCGCAGAAGGGGCCCUUCUGACCAUCAACUGCUCCUAUACAGCCUCAGGCUACACUGUACUUUUCUGGUAUGUCCAGUACCCUGGAGAAGGUCCACAGUUUCUUCUAAAAGCUGUGAAAGCCAAUGAGAAGGAAAGAAGCAAAGGGUUUGAAGCCACAAAUGAUAGAGCAACCAGCUCCUUCCAUUUGGAGAAAGCCUUCGUGCAAGUGUCAGACUUGGGGGUGUACUACUGUGCUGUGAGUGACACAGUGGCAGGAACUGCAGGGGGAGCUGGGCACAAACUCUGA
This is a non-coding RNA of Octodon degus (degu), 417 nucleotides long. Lineage: Eukaryota; Metazoa; Chordata; Mammalia; Rodentia; Octodontidae. The record is from the annotation of a RefSeq genome assembly.